Molecule: small nuclear RNA, 118 nt
Filed under: Vulpes vulpes (red fox)
Lineage: Eukaryota; Metazoa; Chordata; Mammalia; Carnivora; Canidae
Description: U4 spliceosomal RNA (ENSVVUG00000000585.1)
Rfam family: U4 spliceosomal RNA (bases 1-73)
About the family: U4 small nuclear RNA (U4 snRNA) is a component of the major U2-dependent spliceosome. The structure of U4 snRNA from yeast and human has been reported.
Source: RNAcentral
AGCUUUGCGCAGUGGCAGUAUCGUAGCCAAUGAGGUUUAUCUGAGGCGUGAUUAUUGCUAAUUGAAAAAACAUGGAGUGAGAGGAGUAAAAUUCUUUUCCUGAAUCAUCUCUAAAGGC